Molecule: ribosomal RNA, 486 nt
Filed under: uncultured bacterium
Lineage: Bacteria
Description: partial 16S ribosomal RNA
Rfam family: Bacterial small subunit ribosomal RNA
Source: RNAcentral
AUUGAACGCUGGCGGAAUGCUUUAAACAGGCAAGUCGAGCGGCAGCGCGGGGGCAACCCUGGCGGCGGGUGGCGAACGGGGGAGUAAUGCAUCGGAAGGUAUCCUCGAGGGGGGGAUAACCCAGCGAAGGUGGGGCUAAUACCGAAGGAGCUCGGAGGAGGAAAGCGGGGGACCUGGGAGGGCCUGGCGCGGGGGGAGCGGCCGAUGUCCGAUUAGCUAGUUGGUGGGGUAAAGGCUUACCAAGGCGACGAUCGGUAGCUGGUCUGAGAGGAUGAUCAGCCACACUGGGACUGAGACACGGCCCAGACUCCUACGGGAGGCAGCAGUGGGGAAUUUUGGACAAUGGGGGCAACCCUGAUCCAGCCAUGCCGCGUGAGUGAAGAAGGCCUUCGGGUUGUAAAGCUCUUUCGGACGGAACGAAAUGGGCGGGACUAAUACUCCUGUCUGAUGACGGUACCGUAAGAAGAAGCACCGGCUAACUACGUG